Molecule: ribosomal RNA, 1263 nt
Filed under: Neotoxoptera formosana
Lineage: Eukaryota; Metazoa; Arthropoda; Insecta; Hemiptera; Aphididae
Description: 16S ribosomal RNA
Source: RNAcentral
AAUUAAAAUUAUUAAUAUUUUUUUUUUUAUUUGAUUUUUUAUAAAAGUAAUUUAUUUAUUUAGGGUUUUAGUAUUUAGUAAAAAUUAAUUUAUAGAUUUAUAGUUUAAUAGUAUUGUGAAAGAAUUAAUUAAAUUUUAAAAAGAAUAUUGUAAGUACCUUUUGUAUCAGGGUUAAUUAAAAUUUUUAAUUUUUUUUUGAUUUCUCAAAAUUUAUAGAGUUAAUUUUAUUAUUAAUUUAUUGUAUUAUAAAUAUUUAUAAAAUAAUAUUGGUUUUGAAAUUUAAUUCGUUGUAUUAUAUUUAGUUAUUUAAGAUUUAAAUUUAAUUUAAAAUUUUAAAAGUUAUAUUGAUUUUUUUUUAAUUAAUAUUUUAAAUUUAAAUUAUUUUAGGGAUAAGCUUAAAAUUUUUAUAUAAUGAUUUAUUUAUUUUAAUAAUUUAUAGGAAUAGAAAUUUUUAUUUUAAGUUUGUAAAAAUUUAUUAUUUAUUUAUUUUUAAUUUAUUAUAAAUUUAUUUAUUUUUUUUAUUAAAUUUUAUUAAUUAAUAAUUAAUUUUUAGUAAUAAUGAUUAAAUUAGUAUAAUUUAGAUUUAUAAAUUAUGAAUUCGGCAAAAAUUAUUUUCAUCUGUUUAACAAAAACAUUGUAUUAAGUUUAAUUUAAUAUAGGAUCUGCUCAAUGAUUUAUUAAAUAGCUGCAGUAUUUUGACUGUGCAAAGGUAGCAUAAUAAUUAGUCUUUUAAUUGAGGACUUGUAUGAAAGAUUUGAUGAGAAAUAAACUUUAUUAUUUAUAUAAUUAAAAUUUUAUUUUUAAGUAAAAAAGCUUAAAUUAUUUAAAGGGACGAUAAGACCCUAUAAAACUUUAUAAAUGUUAAUUUUGAUUUUUUUGGAUUUAUAAAUAUUUCAUUUUUAUUAUUUAUUUUAUUGGGGUGAUAAAAAAAAUUAUUAAACUUUUUUUAAAAUUUUACAUUAUUUAAUGAAUCUUUGAAUUAAAAUUUUUAAUUAAAGGAAAAAGUUACUUUAGGGAUAACAGCGUAAUUAAUUUUUUAAGUUCAAAUUUAAAAAUUAGUUUGCGACCUCGAUGUUGAAUUAAGAUUAAUCUUAGGUGCAAAAUUUUAAGUAUUAGGUCUGUUCGACCUUUAAAUUCUUACAUGAUUUGAGUUCAAACCGGUGUAAGCCAGGUUGGUUUCUAUCUUUUAAAAAAUAAUUUAUUUUAGUACGAAAGGAUUAAAUAAUUAAAUUAUAUUUUUAUUAAAUGAAUAAAAUUAAUUUA